UACGGAGGGUCCGAGCGUUAAUCGGAAUUACUGGGCGUAAAGCGCGCGUAGGCGGUGUGUUAAGUCAGCUGUGAAAGCCCUGGGCUCAACCUGGGAACUGCAGUUGAUACUGGCACACUAGAGUAUGAAAGAGGGAGGUAGAAUUCCAUGUGUAGCGGUGAAAUGCGUAGAUAUAUGGAGGAAUACCAGUGGCGAAGGCGGCCUCCUGGUUCAGUACUGACGCUGAGGUGCGAAAGCGUGGGGAUCAAACAGG
This 253-nucleotide ribosomal RNA is filed under the name uncultured bacterium. RNAcentral's name for it is "partial 16S ribosomal RNA". It matches the Rfam family "Bacterial small subunit ribosomal RNA", at positions 524 to 776 of the family's 1533-position model. The record is from RNAcentral.